RNAcentral lists this ribosomal RNA (253 nucleotides) under uncultured bacterium. RNAcentral's name for it is "partial 16S ribosomal RNA". It matches the Rfam family "Bacterial small subunit ribosomal RNA", at positions 524 to 776 of the family's 1533-position model. The record is from RNAcentral.
UACGUAGGGAGCAAGCGUUGUCCGGAAUCAUUGGGCGUAAAGGGCGCGUAGGUGGCCCGGUCAGCGUGCGGUGAAAGCUCGGGGCUCAACCCCGAGUCGGCCGUGCGAACUGCUGGGCUUGAGCACUGUAGAGGCAGGCGGAAUUCCGGGUGUAGCGGUGGAAUGCGUAGAGAUCCGGAAGAACACCGGUGGCGAAGGCGGCCUGCUGGGCAGUGGCUGACACUGAGGCGCGACAGCGUGGGGAGCAAACAGG